CGAACGGGUGAGUAAUACAUCAGAACGUGUCCGCUCGUGGGGGACAACCAGCCGAAAGGUUGGCUAAUACCGCAUGAGUUCUACGGAAGAAAGAGGGGGACCCGCAAGGGCCUCUCGCGAGCGGAGCGGCCGAUGACUGAUUAGCCUGUUGGUGAGGUAACGGCUCACCAAAGCAACGAUCAGUAGCUGGUCUGAGAGGACGACCAGCCACACUGGGACUGAGACACGGCCCAGACUCCUACGGAAGGCAGCAG
This 254-nucleotide ribosomal RNA is filed under the name uncultured bacterium. RNAcentral describes it as "partial 16S ribosomal RNA". It matches the Rfam family "Bacterial small subunit ribosomal RNA", at positions 99 to 354 of the family's 1533-position model. The record is from RNAcentral.